Molecule: ribosomal RNA, 253 nt
Filed under: uncultured bacterium
Lineage: Bacteria
Description: partial 16S ribosomal RNA
Rfam family: Bacterial small subunit ribosomal RNA
Source: RNAcentral
UACGGAGGGUGCAAGCGUUAAUCGGAAUUACUGGGCGUAAAGCGCACGCAGGUGGCUGAGUCAGUCGAUUGUGAAAGCCCUGGGCUUAACCUGGGAAUUGCAGUCGAUACUACUCAGCUAGAGUAUGGGAGAGGGCAGUGGAAUUCCCGGUGUAGCGGUGAAAUGCGUAGAUAUCGGGAGGAACAUCAGUGGCGAAGGCGGCUCACUGGGCUGGUAUUGACGCUGAGGUGCGAAAGCGUGGGGAGCAAACAGG